GCCAGAAGAGGCGCGUCGUCCAGGUAGAGUGUCAGAGGAGCCGUUUCUCCGUUGACGGCACCCGAGGGGGAGCGACGCCGAGGUAGGGUAAUGGCCGGCCAUUAUCGUAUCGACUACAGGGGCUGAAUCCCCUGGGUUGUCACCAGGGGAUCGCCCACAGGGCGAUCGACAAGGUGGGGCGCUUCUGGGU
This 190-nucleotide non-coding RNA is filed under the name Serratia marcescens. RNAcentral's name for it is "Lysine riboswitch". It matches the Rfam family "Lysine riboswitch aptamer". From Rfam's summary of the family: Riboswitches are metabolite binding domains within certain messenger RNAs that serve as precision sensors for their corresponding targets. Allosteric rearrangement of mRNA structure is mediated by ligand binding, and this results in modulation of gene expression. Lineage: Bacteria; Pseudomonadati; Pseudomonadota; Gammaproteobacteria; Enterobacterales; Yersiniaceae. The record is from RNAcentral.